AGAGUUUGAUCCUGGCUCAGGAUGAACGCUGGCGGCGUGCCUAAUACAUGCAAGUCGAGCGAACAGACGAGGAGCUUGCUUCUCUGACGUUAGCGGCGGACGGGUGAGUAACACGUGGAUAACCUACCUAUAAGACUGGGAUAACUUCGGGAAACCGGAGCUAAUACCGGAUAAUAUAUUGAACCGCAUGGUUCAAUAGUGAAAGACGGUUUUGCUGUCACUUAUAGAUGGAUCCGCGCCGCAUUAGCUAGUUGGUAAGGUAACGGCUUACCAAGGCAACGAUGCGUAGCCGACCUGAGAGGGUGAUCGGCCACACUGGAACUGAGACACGGUCCAGACUCCUACGGGAGGCAGCAGUAGGGAAUCUUCCGCAAUGGGCGAAAGCCUGACGGAGCAACGCCGCGUGAGUGAUGAAGGUCUUCGGAUCGUAAAACUCUGUUAUUAGGGAAGAACAAAUGUGUAAGUAACUAUGCACGUCUUGACGGUACCUAAUCAGAAAGCCACGGCUAACUACGUGCCAGCAGCCGCGGUAAUACGUAGGUGGCAAGCGUUAUCCGGAAUUAUUGGGCGUAAAGCGCGCGUAGGCGGUUUUUUAAGUCUGAUGUGAAAGCCCACGGCUCAACCGUGGAGGGUCAUUGGAAACUGGAAAACUUGAGUGCAGAAGAGGAAAGUGGAAUUCCAUGUGUAGCGGUGAAAUGCGCAGAGAUAUGGAGGAACACCAGUGGCGAAGGCGACUUUCUGGUCUGUAACUGACGCUGAUGUGCGAAAGCGUGGGGAUCAAACAGGAUUAGAUCCCCUGGUAGUC
Molecule: ribosomal RNA, 805 nt
Filed under: uncultured bacterium
Lineage: Bacteria
Description: bacterial SSU rRNA
Rfam family: Bacterial small subunit ribosomal RNA
Source: RNAcentral